AAUUUUGGACAAUGGGGGAAACCCUGAUCCAGCCAUCCCGCGUGUAUGAUGAAGGCCUUCGGGUUGUAAAGUACUUUUGGCCGAGAGGAAAAGGUAUCACCUAAUACGGGAUACUGCUGACGGUUUAUGCAGAAUAAGCACCGGCUAGCUAUGUGCCAGCAGCCGCGGUAUUACGUAGGGUGCAAGCGUUAAUCGGAAUUACUGGGCGUGAAGCAGUUGUAGGCGGUUCGGAAAGAAAGAUGGGAAAUCCCAGGGCUCAACCUUGGAACUGCAUUUUUAACUGACGAGCUAGAGUAUGUCAGAGGGGGGUAGAAUUCCACGUGUAGCAGUGAAAUGCGUAGAUAAGUGGAGGAAUACCGAUGGCGAAGGCAGCCCCCUGGGAUAAUACUGACGCUCAGACACGAAAGCGUGGGGAGCAAACAGG
This 424-nucleotide ribosomal RNA is filed under the name uncultured bacterium. Its description in RNAcentral is "partial 16S ribosomal RNA". It matches the Rfam family "Bacterial small subunit ribosomal RNA", at positions 360 to 776 of the family's 1533-position model. The record is from RNAcentral.